RNAcentral lists this ribosomal RNA (301 nucleotides) under uncultured bacterium. RNAcentral's name for it is "partial 16S ribosomal RNA". It matches the Rfam family "Bacterial small subunit ribosomal RNA", at positions 509 to 807 of the family's 1533-position model. The record is from RNAcentral.
CAGUCGCCGCGGGAAUACGAAGGGUGCAAGCGUUAAUCGGAAUUACUGGGCGUAAAGCGUGCGUAGGCGGUUUGUUAAGUCUGCUGUGAAAUCCCCGGGCUUAACCUGGGAAUGGCAGUGGAUACUGGCAAGCUAGAGUGUGUCAGAGGAUGGUGGAAUUCCCGGUGUAGCGGUGAAAUGCGUAGAGAUCGGGAGGAACAUCAGUGGCGAAGGCGGCCAUCUGGGACAACACUGACGCUGAGGCACGAAAGCGUGGGGAGCAAACAGGAUUAGAUACCCCUGUAGUCCCUGUCUCUUAUAC